RNAcentral lists this ribosomal RNA (869 nucleotides) under uncultured Jeotgalibacillus sp. Its description in RNAcentral is "bacterial SSU rRNA". It matches the Rfam family "Bacterial small subunit ribosomal RNA", at positions 65 to 916 of the family's 1533-position model. Lineage: Bacteria; Bacillati; Bacillota; Bacilli; Caryophanales; Caryophanaceae. The record is from RNAcentral.
CGCGAGAAUGAGGAGCUUGCUCCUCAUGAUCGAGCGGCGGACGGGUGAGUAACACGUAGGCAACCUACCCUUGAGAUUGGGAUAACUACCGGAAACGGUAGCUAAUACCGGAUACGACAUAGUCACAUAAGUGACUCUGUUAAAAGGCGGAUUUAUCUGCCGCUCAUGGAUGGGCCUGCGGUGCAUUAGCUAGUUGGUGAGAUAGAAGCUCACCAAGGCGACGAUGCAUAGCCGACCUGAGAGGGUGAUCGGCCACACUGGGACUGAGACACGGCCCAGACUCCUACGGGAGGCAGCAGUAGGGAAUCUUCCGCAAUGGACGAAAGUCUGACGGAGCAACGCCGCGUGAGUGAUGAAGGGUUUCGGCUCGUAAAACUCUGUUGUUAAGGAAGAAUACUUGAGGUAGUAACUGGCCUUGAGAUGACGGUACUUAACCAGAAAGCCACGGCUAACUACGUGCCAGCAGCCGCGGUAAUACGUAGGUGGCAAGCGUUAUCCGGAAUUAUUGGGCGUAAAGCGCGCGUAGGCGGUAAAAUAAGUCUGAUGUGAAAGCCCCCGGCUCAACCGGGGAGGGUCAUUGGAAACUGUUUUACUUGAGUACAGAAGAGGAGAGUGGAAUUCCAUGUGUAGCGGUGAAAUGCGCAGAGAUAUGGAGGAACACCAGUGGCGAAGGCGGCUCUCUGGUCUGUAACUGACGCUGAGGUGCGAAAGCGUGGGGAUCAAACAGGAUUAGAUACCCUGGUAGUCCACGCCGUAAACGAUGAGUGCUAAGUGUUGGGGGGUUUCCGCCCUUCAGUGUUGCAGCUAACGCAUUAAGCACUCCGCCUGGGGAGUACGGCCGCAAGGCUGAAACUCAAAGGAAUUGACGG